AUCUAUGGCCAUACCACCCUGAAUGCACCCUAUCUCAUCUGAAGUCAGAAGCUAAGCAGGGUUGGGCCUGGUUAGUACUUGGAUGGGAGAAUAUACAUUCUUUCUGGCUGUACACGGGUCAUUCUCC
This is a non-coding RNA of Fukomys damarensis (Damara mole-rat), 127 nucleotides long. The record is from Rfam. Lineage: Eukaryota; Metazoa; Chordata; Mammalia; Rodentia; Bathyergidae.